RNAcentral lists this ribosomal RNA (504 nucleotides) under uncultured bacterium. RNAcentral's name for it is "bacterial SSU rRNA". It matches the Rfam family "Bacterial small subunit ribosomal RNA", at positions 1 to 507 of the family's 1533-position model. The record is from RNAcentral.
CGAGAGUUUGAUCAUGGCUCAGAUUGAACGCUGGCGGCAUGCCUUACACAUGCAAGUCGAACGGUAACGGGCCUUCGGGUGCCGACGAGUGGCGAACGGGUGAGUAAUGCAUCGGAACGUACCUUUCAGUGGGGGAUAACGUAGCGAAAGUUACGCUAAUACCGCAUAUUCUGUGAGCAGGAAAGCAGGGGAUCGCAAGACCUUGUGCUGAUUGAGCGGCCGAUGUCAGAUUAGCUAGUUGGUGAGGUAAAGGCUCACCAAGGCGACGAUCUGUAGCGGGUCUGAGAGGAUGAUCCGCCACACUGGAACUGAGACACGGUCCAGACUCCUACGGGAGGCAGCAGUGGGGAAUUUUGGACAAUGGGGGCAACCCUGAUCCAGCCAUGCCGCGUGAGUGAAGAAGGCCUUCGGGUUGUAAAGCUCUUUCGGCCGGGAAGAAAUCGCAUGGGUUAAUACCCUGUGCGGAUGACGGUACCGGCAUAAGAAGCACCGGCUAACUACGUG